Molecule: unclassified non-coding RNA, 390 nt
Filed under: Polyscias sambucifolia
Lineage: Eukaryota; Viridiplantae; Streptophyta; Magnoliopsida; Apiales; Araliaceae
Description: partial contains external transcribed spacer and 18S ribosomal RNA
Source: RNAcentral
UUGUGCAGCGAUGAUCGCUCUUUCAUUCCUUUUCAUUCUUCGCUCCAAGAGCAGUAUGCCUUGGACCAAAUUGGUUUCCUGUGUUGUAUACCUGCGUUGAUGGAAUUCUAUUGUCAAAUCGCCCCUAAUUCACCUUGUGCUGCUCGUGCGGUGCGGGAUGAACUGUGAAGUGCCUCUUCGUUGUCCGUUAUUGUCUCGCGUUUGCGCGUCGCAUUAAAUGGCCAACGUUGCGGCGCUCGAAUUCUCGGAUACAGAACCUUAAGCGGGCAAAGGGUUUUUGACCUUGAUUUGSCCAAACUAAGCGUUCUCGCUUCUUACGAACGACUGUCGCGCCCGUUUUGACCUGGGGAUACAUUUGUACCGACUGGCUCAUGCGUGCCGACGUCGAAG